Long non-coding RNA from Magnolia sinica, 1146 nucleotides. RefSeq lists it as uncharacterized. The record is from RefSeq and is a predicted model, not a curated record. The transcript has 8 exons. Lineage: Eukaryota; Viridiplantae; Streptophyta; Magnoliopsida; Magnoliales; Magnoliaceae.
UCUCUCUCUCCGAACCACUCCUUCAAAAUGCAGGAGAUAUACUGAAACCCCCAACCCUUCCUUUCUCCACUCCUAUCCUUCAUCCCACACCCUAAAUCUACAGAAACCCCUUCAACCAGCCGAGCCCUAGAUCUGUAGAAACCCCUUCAACUAGCUGAUCCCUAGAUCUGCAGAAAGCCCUUCGACCAACCAAAAUGCACUCCCAAAACUUGCUCUCUCAAAGGCAUUUUUAGGGGAGGCUACUUCCCCAAUGCAAUCCGAUAUUAUCAGAGAUCCCUCUCUGAGGUGUGUUCUUUUAUGCAAAAUCUGAAUAUUCCGAUUCAAAAUCUACAGAUGGUUGAGAGGUGUACUGGAAAUCCAUAGAAACAGAGAUCAAAUCCCUAUUAGAGAAGCUCUUGGAUGUUAAGAAUGCAAUGUCCACUCCUGCAAUCCCCACAACCUCCAUCACCCAGAAGCUUACAUGUCACAGAGAGAUCCUUUGCAAAUUCACUUAAUGAUGCAAUAUGCAGGAUAGAUGUCCUGUUAGAACUGGUGAUUGAGAACCACUUUUCCCCAAAUGAUGGUACUCUUGAGUUUGAAAUUGGCUAGCAAUAAGGAAUGGGAUGAAGGAGCGCAACACAAACAUUUUGGAGAUAGUUCGCUCUUUAGAUCUCCCAAACAAUCCCUUGGAUGAUAUUAUUGAUUAAGGAAUAUUUGAAUUUGGAGGUCUCCUCUUGAGGGUGGAUUCUUGAAGACUAGGUGUUGUUUUGGCUUGAGUUCAUGUUCUGUUUGAAAGCUUUCAAUUUCUAUUUUGGUUGUUGGAUUUGUGGAAAAAUGGCUUGUAUGAAAUUGGGAUCGAAAUUUGAUGCAUUCCAACGACAAGGGCAGGCAUGGCGGGUUGCAUCGGGCGACGUGGUCGAGAAGACUAUUGAGAGGAGGUAGAAGAGAAUGAUCAAGAACAGGGAGUCUGCUACUCGAUCAGGGGCCAGGAAGCAGGCGUACACGAACGAGCUGGAGAACAAGGUUUCACAUCUGGAAGAAGAGAAUGAAAGGCUCAAGAAGCAGAAGGUGUCUGCUUAUAAUGAGAAGGAUGUUAACUACAGAUGGACAAGUGCGACUUGCAUCCUAAAAUGGGCCAUGUAUAAUCAGAGUCCUUUCUGUCCUCAG